This 282-nucleotide long non-coding RNA is filed under the name Panax ginseng (ginseng). Its description in RNAcentral is "long non-coding RNA (PGIN_LNC014543)". Lineage: Eukaryota; Viridiplantae; Streptophyta; Magnoliopsida; Apiales; Araliaceae. The record is from RNAcentral.
AGCUUUGUAUUUAAACUGGGAGUGCAACCACCCUAAUCUUACUUUAAGUUAAAUUCCUGUGUAAAUCUCUACAUAUAUUGCAACUUGUAAAAAUCAUAACUAAUUCACACAAACUCAAAAUCCAAUGAUUCAAAAGGCUAGAUUUUCGUAUUUCCGUCACCUACAUUGGUUUAGAAGGCAUCGGGGAGCCUUUUAAAGAACCCUUCUGCCCCAAAAUCACAAAAAAAAAAUACUGUCCUGUUUUUUGCCAAACUAUUUACAUCGGAGUUUGGAAGGCCAUAG